Molecule: ribosomal RNA, 497 nt
Filed under: uncultured bacterium
Lineage: Bacteria
Description: partial 16S ribosomal RNA
Rfam family: Bacterial small subunit ribosomal RNA
Source: RNAcentral
GAUGAACGCUGGCGGCGUGCCUAAUACAUGCAAGUCGAGCGAACGGACGAGAAGCUUGCUUCUCUGAUGUUAGCGGCGGACGGGUGAGUAACACGUGGAUAACCUACCUAUAAGACUGGGAUAACUUCGGGAAACCGGAGCUAAUACCGGAUAAUAUUUUGAACCGCAUGGUUCAAAAGUGAAAGACGGUCUUGCUGUCACUUAUAGAUGGAUCCGCGCUGCAUUAGCUAGUUGGUAAGGUAACGGCUUACCAAGGCAACGAUGCAUAGCCGACCUGAGAGGGUGAUCGGCCACACUGGAACUGAGACACGGUCCAGACUCCUACGGGAGGCAGCAGUAGGGAAUAUUGCGCAAUGGGCGAAAGCCUGACGGAGCAACGCCGCGUGAGUGAUGAAGGUCUUCGGAUCGUAAAACUCUGUUAUUAGGAAAGAAAAUAUGUGUAAGUAACUGUGCACAUCUUGACGGUACCUAAUCAGAAAGCCACGGCUAACUACGUG